Molecule: ribosomal RNA, 524 nt
Filed under: Chaetomidium leptoderma
Lineage: Eukaryota; Fungi; Ascomycota; Sordariomycetes; Sordariales; Chaetomiaceae
Description: partial large subunit ribosomal RNA
Rfam family: Eukaryotic large subunit ribosomal RNA
Source: RNAcentral
UUGCCCUAGUAACGGCGAGUGAAGCGGCAACAGCUCAAAUUUGAAAUCUGGCCUCGGCCCGAGUUGUAAUUUGCAGAGGAAGCUUUAGGCGCGGCACCAACUGAGUCCCCUGGAACGGGGCGCCAUAGAGGGUGAGAGCCCCGUAUAGUUGGACGCCUAGCCUGUGUAAAGCUCCUUCGACGAGUCGAGUAGUUUGGGAAUGCUGCUCAAAAUGGGAGGUAAAUUUCUUCUAAAGCUAAAUACCGGCCAGAGACCGAUAGCGCACAAGUAGAGUGAUCGAAAGAUGAAAAGCACUUUGAAAAGAGGGUUAAAUAGCACGUGAAAUUGUUGAAAGGGAAGCGCUUGUGACCAGACUUGCGCCGGGCGGAUCAUCCGGUGUUCUCACCGGUGCACUCCGCCCGGCUCAGGCCAGCAUCGGUUCUCGCGGGGGGAUAAAGGUCCCGGGAACGUAGCUCCUCCGGGAGUGUUAUAGCCCGGGGCGUAAUGCCCUCGCGGGGACCGAGGUUCGCGCAUCUGCAAGGAUG